Molecule: long non-coding RNA, 748 nt
Filed under: Rattus norvegicus (Norway rat)
Lineage: Eukaryota; Metazoa; Chordata; Mammalia; Rodentia; Muridae
Description: long non-coding RNA NONRATT000685
Source: RNAcentral
GGAGUUAGGCCGGUUCAGUCGGAGUGUGCUCCUAGGUUUUCUGACUUUUCUUAAAGUAAAUGAUGAGAAAUUUUUUUUUUAUCUCAAAAUACCAUUAGAAAGGAAAGUCCCAACGCUCGGAAGCUUAGUUGACAAAGAAGGGGGUUGCGUGGCUGCGAGUCUCAACUACUGUUUGGGAGCCCCAAAACCAGUGCUGACACCCGCGCCCCACGAGCGCGCAAUUCCUCCCCUGGUAGGUAACGCGGAAGAACCGGGAGGGUGGCGGCCUCAGGGCACAGGAGCUCGGCUACCGAAAACCAGAAUGGUUACGCGUUGUAGACGGAAGCCUGCAGUCUCAGCAUCCAGACUGGAGGCAGUAAAGAUUGCUGCAAGUUCGAGGCCAGUGAGCUCCAGGCCAGGCUGAACCACAGAAUGAGCUCCAAACCAGCAUGGGUUAAGCGAGUUGAAGACCAGCCUGAGCUACUGAAUAAGUUUGAGGGUAGCUUGGGUUACAGAGUGCAUUCGAGGCCAGCCUGGGCCACACAGUGAGUUGAAGACCAAUCAUGGCUACAUAGCAAGUUCGAGGACAGCCUAUGCUCCAUACUAAGACCCUGUCUCAAAACAUCCAUAAAAACAAUGUAGAAAAGACAAAGCAGAAGAAGCGACAGCAGCUGGGAGAAGACUCUGGAAAUGAGCUGGAUCAUGGGAACCCCGAAACCGCUGAUUUUGCCUUGGCUGGUGUCUCAGCUGGACCUGGGACAGCUGAAAG